RNAcentral lists this ribosomal RNA (253 nucleotides) under uncultured bacterium. Its description in RNAcentral is "partial 16S ribosomal RNA". It matches the Rfam family "Bacterial small subunit ribosomal RNA", at positions 524 to 776 of the family's 1533-position model. The record is from RNAcentral.
UACGUAGGGACCAAGCGUUAUCCGGAUUCACUGGGUUUAAAGGGUGCGUAGGUGGGCAGGUAAGUCAGUGGUGAAAUCUCCGGGCUUAACUCGGAAACUGCCAUUGAUACUAUCUGUCUUGAAUACCGUGGAGGUCAGCGGAAUAUGUCAUGUAGCGGUGAAAUGCUUAGAUAUGACAUAGAACACCAAUUGCGAAGGCAGCUGGCUAGACGAAUAUUGACACUGAUGCACGAAAGCGUGGGGAUCAAACAGG